This 316-nucleotide ribosomal RNA is filed under the name Acutisoma longipes. RNAcentral describes it as "partial 12S ribosomal RNA". The record is from RNAcentral. Lineage: Eukaryota; Metazoa; Arthropoda; Arachnida; Opiliones; Gonyleptidae.
CCCUAGUAUUAUUUAAUGUAUAAGAAGAAUUAUAUAUUGAAAAUGAAAGUUUCUGGCGGUUAAUUAUUAUUUAGAGGAGCUUGUUGUUUUUAUAAGAAUUUACUCUUUAUAUUUUAUAGAUAAAAAGUUUAUUCAUCUCCGUUAUUAGGUAUUAAUCAUUAAAAUUUAUUUUAUAAUUUCAGGUCUAGAUGUAGCAUUUAUUGGAGAUGAUUAGCUACAGUUGUAAAAUAAUGGAUUUUUGUUUAAAAUCAAAAGGAAAAUGAAUUUGAUUGUAAUUUUAGCCAAGAGGCUAAAAUGAAUCAUUAUAAUUAAUGUA